UGGGAAGUAUUGCACAAUGGGCGGCAAGCCAUGACUGCAGCCAUGCCGCGUGUAUGAAGAAGGCCAAUUCGGGGCUUUGGUUAAAGAUACUUUCAGCGAGGAGGAAGGCGAUAAGGUUAAUAACCUUGUCGAUUGACGUUACUCGCAGAAGAAGCACCGGCUAACUCCGUGCCAGCAGCCGCGGUAAUACGGAGGGUGCAAGCGUUAAUCGGAAUUACUGGGCGUAAAGCGCACGCAGGCGGUCUGUCAAGUCGGAUGUGAAAUCCCCGGGCUCAACCUGGGAACUGCAUCCGAAACUGGCAGGCUAGAGUCUUGUAGA
RNAcentral lists this ribosomal RNA (319 nucleotides) under uncultured Enterobacteriaceae bacterium. Its description in RNAcentral is "bacterial SSU rRNA". It matches the Rfam family "Bacterial small subunit ribosomal RNA", at positions 355 to 655 of the family's 1533-position model. Lineage: Bacteria; Pseudomonadati; Pseudomonadota; Gammaproteobacteria; Enterobacterales; Enterobacteriaceae. The record is from RNAcentral.